UACGUAGGUGGCAAGCGUUGUCCGGAUUUACUGGGCGUAAAGGGCGUGCAGGCGGUUUGUUUAGUCUAGGGUGAAAGCUCCCGGCUUAACUGGGAGAGGUCCUUGGAUACUGGCAAACUUGAGGGAGGCAGAGGAAAGUGGAAUUCCUGGUGUAGCGGUGAAAUGCGCAGAUAUCAGGAAGAACACCAAUGGCGAAGGCAGCUCUCUGGGACGGUACUGACGCUGAGACGCGAAAGCGUGGGGAGCGAACAGG
Molecule: ribosomal RNA, 253 nt
Filed under: uncultured bacterium
Lineage: Bacteria
Description: partial 16S ribosomal RNA
Rfam family: Bacterial small subunit ribosomal RNA
Source: RNAcentral